This 253-nucleotide ribosomal RNA is filed under the name uncultured bacterium. RNAcentral's name for it is "partial 16S ribosomal RNA". It matches the Rfam family "Bacterial small subunit ribosomal RNA", at positions 524 to 776 of the family's 1533-position model. The record is from RNAcentral.
UACGAAGGGUGCAAGCGUUACUCGGAAUUACUGGGCGUAAAGCGUGCGUAGGUGGUUUGUUAAGUCUGAUGUGAAAGCCCUGGGCUCAACCUGGGAACGGCAUUGGAAACUGGCUUACUAGAGUGCGGUAGAGGGGUGUGGAAUUCCCGGUGUAGCAGUGAAAUGCGUAGAUAUCGGGAGGAACAUCUGUGGCGAAGGCGACACCCUAGACCAGCACUGACACUGAGGCACGAAAGCGUGGGGAGCAAACAGG